CUACGCACUCCUACGGGGGGCAGCAGUGGGGAAUAUUGCACAAUGGGCGCAAGCCUGAUGCAGCCAUGCCGCGUGUAUGAAGAAGGCCUUCGGGUUGUAAAGUACUUUCAGCAGUGAGGAAGGUGGAUAUGUUAAUAGCAUAUUCAUUUGACGUUAGCUGCAGAAGAAGCACCGGCUAACUCCGUGCCAGCAGCCGCGGUAAUACGGAGGGUGCGAGCGUUAAUCGGAAUUACUGGGCGUAAAGCGCAUGCAGGUGGUUUGUUAAGUCAGAUGUGAAAGCCCGGGGCUCAACCUCGGAAUUGCAUUUGAAACUGGCAAACUAGAGUACUGUAGAGGGGGUAGAAUUUCAGGUGUAGCGGUGAAAUGCGUAGAGAUCUGAAGGAAUACCGGUGGCGAAGGCGGCCCCCUGGACAGAUACUGACACUCAGAUGCGAAAGCGUGGGGAGCAAACAGGAUUAGAUACCCUGGUAG
RNAcentral lists this ribosomal RNA (471 nucleotides) under uncultured bacterium. RNAcentral's name for it is "bacterial SSU rRNA". It matches the Rfam family "Bacterial small subunit ribosomal RNA", at positions 329 to 793 of the family's 1533-position model. The record is from RNAcentral.